CUUUCAUCUGUGGGACUUCGGUUCCAUCUCGUUCCAUGGAUGAUGAUCAGAGCCGCCUCUCUUUUCUUUAAGAGCCAGACUUGUCUUUGGACAAAAUUGAGAAGAACUCAUAAACUUCGCUUCUUCACUUCUGCUCCUCAGUAUGCCAGGGAUGGGCACAUGGCAGUGAACAAGAAAUGUGUGAGACUGCGUCUAAGGAAGGUGCAGGCCAAGAUGUCUGACUCAGAGGUGAAAAUGAGAGUGGACUGGAGAAGGAAGUAACCAGAGAGGGAGAAGCUAGUCAGGAAGCUGCUGAAGUUAUCCAAGAGUUGUGUUGAUGUUCCUUUCAGCUGGUCCUAUAGUCCCCCUCCUCAGGAAUGUCUCCCAGUGCAAGGACAAAGACUGAAGAGACUGCUAUAUUGAUGGACCCUCAAGCCAACUAUGAAGUUGAAACAAAGAAAGUGAUCACCUGAAGACACCUCCUCUGCUAAGAAACACCCCCAAAUUGUGCAGCUUCUGACACUAGAACUCUCAGAACAAGAGACAAUCUUUUGAAGAAACAGAAAAACUCAAUAAUGACAUCUAGAUUUUCAUGAGCCAAGAACUUUCCCUUCCUCAUGUGUAUUCCUCUGUUUGUACUUAAAUUCAUGUGACAUUCAUUUUUUUCCUAGUAUGGAUAUGCUUAUUAAUGCACUUGUUUCAAAAUCGAAAAUUGCACAAAUGUGUUAAUAUUUUAAGAAACAAAAUUAAUCCUACAAGGAGAAUGAUUUUUAGCCACACAUAGGGUUGGAUCUUAAGAGUGACCUACAGAAUAAAAAGUACUUUUAAAAUAAAGUAGUCAGAGGCUAUUCAAAGGGUAAAAUAAUCAUAGUACCACAUUGGUCCACUUGACACUAACCAAUCGAUCAUUAUUUUUUUAAUCAAGAAAGCUAGAUUCUAUCAGAUAAAAUAACUGCUUCUAAAGAGUUUAAAUCUAGUUAUAAAAAGUUAUAGAAAUGUUUGCAAAGAUAAGUAACAGAUAGGGUCAGUAGAGGAUAAGAUCAAAAACAAAACCAAGCAAAAGAUGAGUUCAGGGGAGUUUGCCAUCAAGUUGGCAAAACUGACGUAUUUAGGGAAGAAAGUUCUAAAAGAGGAAAAUAUAAGAUGAACCUUGAGUGAUGUCAAAGAUUUAGAGAUAAAUGGAAAGGAAGGAGAAAAUGGAGUUCUUUAGGUGGUUGUAAUUGGAGGAGGAAAUGAAUACACACAUCUUGUUGACUUAAACCCAGACAUUCAGCAGCUUUCUAUACAUAUCUGGAAAAGACUUUGCACAGUCACCUCCUGUCUCUCACCCCGGGUAUUACUUAGAAUUAUUAUCGUAUUUCCCUUCCUUUAAAGUAAGUAAGGGUGAUUGGUGACAAUAUGGAGAACUAUGAUUUUUCCAUUAACCUAAUAAUAAUUGGUAUUUAUUGAGUUCUGUUAAGCAUUUUACAUAUUAACUCACUUAAGCCUUUCAACAGCCUUGCAAAAUAGGUAUUAUUAUUCCCAUUUUACAGGCAAGAAAACUGAGGUUUAAGUAACUUGCCAAAGUGCCAUAUACAGGGCUCACAUUCAGUAUUGCAAUUGCAAAGCUCAUGAUCUAUAGUGCCAAGUUGCAAUAUUGGAGUCAAUGUCACAAUUAUUACCCCUUUUUAUAUUCCUUGAUAUUUUUCCAUGGCAAACAAAUAGCUAUUUCAUUUAAUAAUCACCUAAAACUUUUCAGUCUUCUGGUUAAAAUUACACUGGAGUGAUAGAAUGUAUUUUCGUGAUAGAAUGUAUUUUCAUGAUAGAAAUUGGGGAAAAAAAUGGGGAAUGAAGUUUAUCAGCAUUUCAGACCUUUUUUUUUUUGCAAGACUUUGAUGAGAUUGUUCACUUUUGUCUACGUAAAAUCCCAAAUCCUUGAGAAUAAAAAAGGGGGAGGUUUAAGUCACUUGUUGCAAUGCCCUUUUUAACAGAGGCAAUAAAUCUAAGGCCAUAGAUUUAGAGUGACUUACAGAAGGUCGAACUUUGGGGUGUGGCAGAGUAAGGGAUGGAAACCAGGCCUUCCAGUUCACUAUCAGUAGCUCUUGCACUAGUCUGCCCUUCCUAAAUUAAUUAUGCACUUCAAUUUGAUGAGUGGAAACAGUCUAUCUAGGUAGUAACCAGGGAGCUUUGUGCCUAGUAGAUUGCUUCUGUUCUGCACUUCUUUGGUUUCCCACCUCAAUGUAAAAAAUAGCUAGCAAUGAAGCCCAGAAGUUGUCAAUGGUUCAUCCCCAAAAGAAUGCAUAAUGUCCAAAGUUGUAUGUGUAUAAUGUCUUCAAUGGUAUUUUUAAGUUAUUUCAAAUUCUUAGUUCACUUACAUAAAUCAUUUCUAAUGAGCAUCUUCUUAACCAACUUUAUGCACAGUGUAUGUUUGUAAGUGCUUCUGCACGAAUGUUUAUACAUGACUGUUUCCAUAGUACUUGUGUUUUUAAAAAUAUUCAGUCAUUUCCUAUUAUAAUCCUCAUGUAUCCAUGUAACUGACUCAAAAAUACUUCAGCCAUAAAAAGCUAAAUCUGAGCAAAUCUCAUUCUUCUUUUCCAUCCCCUUUGCAUGUGGCUGGCAUUUAGUAAUGAUUAAUAAUGUGGCCAGCUGAAUAACAGAGGUUCGAGACACAAUUCUUUCUCAAAGGAGUCAGCUAAGCUGGGUCUACUUAUGGACAAACAUCUAAAUGUGUGGAAGUAUCUGAUAUUUGACUAUGGUAAAUUUCCACUUAGCUAGCUAGCACUGUCAGACUUAGAUCUCCUCAUGGCUCUGGCCGUCCUGUUUUCAGCAUGAUAAUUGUUGGCCACAUCUCACAUAGUUCUCAUUAAGUGAGUUCAUAAAUAAACAGGGUUUUUUUUUUUAAAGAGCAGCCAAGCACAAAGUGUGACUUUGUUGACAUUUUAUGUGACUUCGUCAUAUGUUCCUAACCCCCAAUAAAAGCAAUGUUGCAUCAACUGUGAAUUUGUGUUGAUUUCUUGAAAAAGCAUGCUCUUAUAAUUUAUUUGUUUUCACUAGUGUAUAUCAAAGUUAGUUUCAAGAUCCAUGAGGAACAAGUCAGCUAACGUGAUAGGAAAACUUAAAUGUAGAG
RNAcentral lists this long non-coding RNA (3085 nucleotides) under Pongo abelii (Sumatran orangutan). RNAcentral describes it as "lncRNA (ENSPPYG00000037624.1)". The record is from RNAcentral. Lineage: Eukaryota; Metazoa; Chordata; Mammalia; Primates; Hominidae.